UACGUAGGGUGCAAGCGUUGUCCGGAAUUAUUGGGCGUAAAGAGCUCGUAGGCGGUCUGUCGCGUCGGCUGUGAAAACCCGGAGCUCAACUCCGGGCCUGCAGUCGAUACGGGCAAGCUGGAGUACUGCAGGGGAGACUGGAAUUCCUGGUGUAGCGGUGAAAUGCGCAGAUAUCAGGAGGAACACCGGUGGCGAAGGCGGGUCUCUGGGCAGUAACUGACGCUGAUGCACGAAAGCUAGGGGAGCAAACAGG
This 253-nucleotide ribosomal RNA is filed under the name uncultured bacterium. RNAcentral's name for it is "partial 16S ribosomal RNA". It matches the Rfam family "Bacterial small subunit ribosomal RNA", at positions 524 to 776 of the family's 1533-position model. The record is from RNAcentral.